RNAcentral lists this ribosomal RNA (496 nucleotides) under uncultured Sphingobacteriales bacterium. RNAcentral describes it as "bacterial SSU rRNA". It matches the Rfam family "Bacterial small subunit ribosomal RNA", at positions 903 to 1382 of the family's 1533-position model. The record is from RNAcentral. Lineage: Bacteria; Pseudomonadati; Bacteroidota; Sphingobacteriia; Sphingobacteriales.
AGCCCGCUCAGAAACUACAAAUGAAUUGACGGGGGCCCGCACAAGCGGAGGAGCAUGUGGUUUAAUUCGAUGAUACGCGAGGAACCUUACCUGGGCUCGAACGUAAGAUGACUGUAGGUGAAAGCUUACAUCUCUUCGGAGCAUUUUACGAGGUGCUGCAUGGUUGUCGUCAGCUCGUGCCGUGAGGUGUCGGGUUAAGUCCCAUAACGAGCGCAACCCUACCUUUAGUUGCCAUCAGGUAAUGCUGGGGACUCUAAAGGAACUGCCUACGCAAGUAGUGAGGAAGGCGGGGAUGACGUCAAAUCAGCACGGCCCUUACGUCCAGGGCUACACACGUGCUACAAUGGCCGAUACAGAGGGCAGCUACCUGGUGACAGGAUGCAAAUCUCCAAAGUCGGUCUCAGUUCGGAUCGGAGUCUGCAACCCGACUCCGUGAAGUUGGAUUCGCUAGUAAUCGCGCAUCAGCCAUGGCGCGGUGAAUACGUUCCCGGGCCUU